AAAAAAAAAAAAAGGUGAGGAAACAAGAGAACUGGAAGUGAACGAGGUGAUUCUUUGUUUCUCUCUUUCUUUGUUUCUCUCUCUCUCUCUCUUGGUCUUUUGUUUUCUCUUCUUCUAAU
RNAcentral lists this non-coding RNA (119 nucleotides) under Stygamoeba regulata. Lineage: Eukaryota; Discosea; Stygamoebida. The record is from RNAcentral.